RNAcentral lists this ribosomal RNA (547 nucleotides) under uncultured bacterium. RNAcentral's name for it is "bacterial SSU rRNA". It matches the Rfam family "Bacterial small subunit ribosomal RNA", at positions 355 to 895 of the family's 1533-position model. The record is from RNAcentral.
UGGGGAAUAUUGGACAAUGGGCGAAAGCCUGAUCCAGCCAUGCCGCGUGUGUGAAGAAGGCCUUUUGGUUGUAAAGCACUUUAAGUGGGGAGGAAAAGCUUAUGGUUAAUACCCAUAAGCCCUGACGUUACCCACAGAAUAAGCACCGGCUAACUCUGUGCCAGCAGCCGCGGUAAUACAGAGGGUGCAAGCGUUAAUCGGAAUUACUGGGCGUAAAGCGCGCGUAGGUGGUUAUUUAAGUCAGAUGUGAAAGCCCCGGGCUUAACCUGGGAACUGCAUCUGAUACUGGAUAACUAGAGUAGGUGAGAGGGGAGUAGAAUUCCAGGUGUAGCGGUGAAAUGCGUAGAGAUCUGGAGGAAUACCGAUGGCGAAGGCAGCUCCCUGGCAUCAUACUGACACUGAGGUGCGAAAGCGUGGGUAGCAAACAGGAUUAGAUACCCUGGUAGUCCACGCCGUAACGAUGUCUACCAGUCGUUGGGUCUUUUAAAGACUUAGUGACGCAGUUAACGCAAUAAGUAGACCGCCUGGGGAGUACGGCCGCAAGGUU